This 75-nucleotide transfer RNA is filed under the name Nocardia otitidiscaviarum. RNAcentral's name for it is "tRNA-Phe(gaa)". It matches the Rfam family "tRNA". From Rfam's summary of the family: Transfer RNA (tRNA) molecules are approximately 80 nucleotides in length. Their secondary structure includes four short double-helical elements and three loops (D, anti-codon, and T loops). Further hydrogen bonds mediate the characteristic L-shaped molecular structure. tRNAs have two regions of fundamental functional importance: the anti-codon, which is responsible for specific mRNA codon recognition, and the 3' end, to which the tRNAs corresponding amino acid is attached (by aminoacyl-tRNA synthetases). tRNAs cope with the degeneracy of the genetic code in two manners: having more than one tRNA (with a specific anti-codon) for a particular amino acid; and 'wobble' base-pairing, i.e. permitting non-standard base-pairing at the 3rd anti-codon position. Lineage: Bacteria; Bacillati; Actinomycetota; Actinomycetes; Mycobacteriales; Nocardiaceae. RNAcentral also lists the same sequence under 5 other names. The record is from RNAcentral.
GGCCAGGUAGCUCAGUUGGUACGAGCGUCCGCCUGAAAAGCGGAAGGUCGCCGGUUCGAUCCCGGCCUUGGCCAC